Molecule: unclassified non-coding RNA, 113 nt
Organism: Colobus angolensis palliatus
Lineage: Eukaryota; Metazoa; Chordata; Mammalia; Primates; Cercopithecidae
Rfam family: Y RNA
About the family: Y RNAs are components of the Ro ribonucleoprotein particle (Ro RNP), in association with Ro60 and La proteins.
Source: Ensembl
GGCUAGUUUCAAGGUAGUGAGUUAUGUCACUUGAUUGUUCAUGGUCAGUUACAGAUUGAACUGUUUGUUCUAUUCUUUUCCCCCUUCUCACUACUGUACGUGACUAAUACAAA